UACGUAGGGUGCAAGCGUUAAUCGGAAUUACUGGGCGUAAAGCGUGCGCAGGCGGUUGUGCAAGACAGGUGUGAAAUCCCCGGGCUUAACCUGGGAAUGGCGCUUGUGACUGGUAGGCUAGAGUACGUCAGAGGGGGGUGGAAUUCCACGUGUAGCAGUGAAAUGCGUAGAGAUGUGGAGGAACACCGAUGGCGAAGGCAGCCCCCUGGGAUGAUACUGACGCUCAGGCACGAAAGCGUGGGGAGCAAACAGG
RNAcentral lists this ribosomal RNA (253 nucleotides) under uncultured bacterium. RNAcentral's name for it is "partial 16S ribosomal RNA". It matches the Rfam family "Bacterial small subunit ribosomal RNA", at positions 524 to 776 of the family's 1533-position model. The record is from RNAcentral.